UUGACCUCGGAUCAGGUAGGGAUACCCGCUGAACUUAAGCAUAUCAAUAAGCGGAGGAAAAGAAACCAACAGGGAUUGCUCUAGUAACGGCGAGUGAAGCAGCAAUAGCUCAAAUUUGAAAUUCUGCGUCUUCGACGUCCGAGUUGUAAUUUGUAGAGGAUGCUUCUGAGUAACCACCGACCUAAGUUCCUUGGAACAGGACGUCAUAGAGGGUGAGAAUCCCGUAUGCGGUCGGAAAGGUGCUCUAUACGUAGCUCCUUCGACGAGUCGAGUUGUUUGGGAAUGCAGCUCUAAAUGGGAGGUAAAUUUCUUCUAAAGCUAAAUAUUGGCCAGAGACCGAUAGCGCACAAGUAGAGUGAUCGAAAGAUGAAAAGCACUUUGGAAAGAGAGUUAAAAAGCACGUGAAAUUGUUAAAAGGGAAGGGAUUGCAACCAGACUUGCUCGCGGUGUUCCGCCGGUCUUCUGACCGGUCUACUCGCCCGUUGCAGGCCAGCAUCGUCUGGUGCCGCUGGAUAAGACUUGAGGAAUGUAGCCUCUUCGGGAGUGUUAUAGCCUCUUGUGAUGCAGCGAGGCCCGGGCGAGG
Molecule: ribosomal RNA, 583 nt
Filed under: Cladosporium sp. NRRL 29110
Lineage: Eukaryota; Fungi; Ascomycota; Dothideomycetes; Cladosporiales; Cladosporiaceae
Description: eukaryotic LSU rRNA
Rfam family: Eukaryotic large subunit ribosomal RNA
Source: RNAcentral